CCUACGGGAGGCUGCAGUGGGGAAUAUUGCACAAUGGGCGCAAGCCUGACCCAGCAACGCCGCGUGAAGGAAGAAGGCUUUCGGGUUGUAAACUUCUUUCACUAGGGAAGAGCAGAAGACGGUACCUAUUGAACAAGCCACGGCUGACUACGUGCCCGCAGCCGCUGUAAUACGGAGGUGGCAAGCGUUGUCCGGAUUUACUGGGUGUAAAGGGCGUGCAGCAGGGAAGACAAGUCAGAUGGUAAAUCCGGCGGCUCAACCGCGGAACUGCAUUUGAAACUGGUUUUCUUGAGUACAGGAGAGGCAAGCGGAAGUCCUUGUGUAGCGGUGAAAUGCGUAGAUAUAAGGAAGAACACCAGUGGCGAAGGCGGAUUACUGGACAGCAACUGACGGUGAGGCGCGAAAGCGUGGGGAGCAAACAGGAUUAGAUACCCGUGUAGUC
Molecule: ribosomal RNA, 442 nt
Filed under: uncultured bacterium
Lineage: Bacteria
Description: partial 16S ribosomal RNA
Rfam family: Bacterial small subunit ribosomal RNA
Source: RNAcentral